This 466-nucleotide ribosomal RNA is filed under the name uncultured bacterium. RNAcentral's name for it is "partial 16S ribosomal RNA". It matches the Rfam family "Bacterial small subunit ribosomal RNA", at positions 28 to 507 of the family's 1533-position model. The record is from RNAcentral.
GAUGAACGCUGGCGGCGUGCUUAACACAUGCAAGUCGAACGAUGAAGCUCAGCUUGCUGGGUGGAUUAGUGGCGAACGGGUGAGUAACACGUGAGUAACCUGCCCUUAACUCUGGGAUAGGCCUGUGAAACUAGGUCUAAUACCUGAUAGGAGCGCCUACCGCAUGGUGGGUGUUGGAAAGAUUUAUCGUUUUUGGAUGGACUCGAGGCCUAUCAGCUUGUUGUUGAGGUAAUGGCUCACCAAGGCGACGACGGGUAGCCGGCCUGAGAGCGUGACCGGCCACCCUGGGACUGAGACACGGAGCAGACUCCUACGGGAGGCAGCAGUGGGGAAUAUUGCACAAUGGGCGAAAGUCUGAUGCAGAGACGCCGCGUGAGGGAUGACGGCCUUCGGGUUGUAAACAUCUUUCAGUAGGGAAGAAGCGAAAGUGACGGUACCUGCAGAAGAAGCACCGGCUAACUACGUG